Molecule: ribosomal RNA, 389 nt
Filed under: uncultured bacterium
Lineage: Bacteria
Description: bacterial SSU rRNA
Rfam family: Bacterial small subunit ribosomal RNA
Source: RNAcentral
GACGAACGCUGGCGGCGUGCUUAACACAUGCAAGUCGAGCGGUAAGGCCCUUUCGGGGUACGACGAGCGGCGAACGGGUGAGUAACACGUGGGUGACCUGCCCUUAGCUCUGGGAUAAGCCUGGGAAACUGGGUCUAAUACCGGAUAUGACCUCAUGACUCAUGUUGUGGGGUGGAAAGCCUUGUGCGGCUAGGGAUGGGCCCGCGGUCUAUCAGCUUGUUGGUGGGGUAAUUGCCUACCAAGGCGACGACGGGUAGCCGGCCUGAGAGGGCGACCGGCCACACUGGGACUGAGACACGGCCCAGACUCCUACGGGAGGCAGCAGUGGGGAAGUCUUGCGCAAUGGGCGAAAGCCUGACGCAGCGACGCCGCGUGAGGGAUGACGGCCU